Molecule: ribosomal RNA, 439 nt
Filed under: uncultured bacterium
Lineage: Bacteria
Description: partial 16S ribosomal RNA
Rfam family: Bacterial small subunit ribosomal RNA
Source: RNAcentral
CCUACGUGAGGCAGCAGUGGGGGAUAUUGCACAAUGGAGGAAACUCUGAUGCAGCGACGCCGCGUGAGGGAAGACGGUCUUCGGAUUGUAAACCUCUGUCUUUGGGGAAGAAAAUGACGGUACCCAAAGAGGAAGCUCCGGCUAACUACGUGCCAGCAGCCGCGGUAAUACGGAGGAUGCGAGCGUUAUCCGGAUUUAUUGGGUUUAAAGGGUGCGUAGGCGGGAUGCCAAGUCAGCGGUAAAAAUGCGGUGCUCAACGCCGUCGAGCCGUUGAAACUGGCGUUCUUGAGUGGGCGAGAAGUAUGCGGAAUGCGUGGUGUAGCGGUGAAAUGCAUAGAUAUCACGCAGAACUCCGAUUGCGAAGGCAGCAUACCGGCGCCCUACUGACGCUGAGGCACGAAAGCGUGGGUAUCGAACAGGAUUAGAUACCCCAGUAGUC